RNAcentral lists this ribosomal RNA (490 nucleotides) under uncultured bacterium. RNAcentral's name for it is "partial 16S ribosomal RNA". It matches the Rfam family "Bacterial small subunit ribosomal RNA", at positions 29 to 507 of the family's 1533-position model. The record is from RNAcentral.
AUUGAACGCUGGCGGCAUGCCUUACACAUGCAAGUCGAACGGCAUCGCGGGAAAGCUUGCUUUCCUGGCGGCGAGUGGCGAACGGGUGAGUAACACAUCGGAACGUACCGGCUAGUGGGGGAUAACCCGUCGAAAGACGGGCUAAUACCGCAUACGCUCUUCGGAGGAAAGCAGGGGACCUUUGGGCCUUGCGCUAUCCGAGCGGCCGAUGUCCGAUUAGCUAGUUGGUGGGGUAAAGGCCUACCAAGGCGACGAUCGGUAGCGGGUCUGAGAGGACGAUCCGCCAGACUGGGACUGAGACAGGGCACAGACUCCUACGGGAGGCAGCGGUGGGGAAUCUUGGACGAUGGGGGCAACCCUGAUACAGCAAUGCCGCGUGGGUGAAGAAGGCCUUCGGGUUGUAAAGCCCUUUAGGCAGGGAAGAAAUCGGCGGGGCGAAUAACCCUGCUGGAUGACGGUACCUGCAGAAGAAGCACCGGCUAACUACGUG